Molecule: microRNA precursor, 137 nt
Filed under: Trichophyton rubrum BMU01672
Lineage: Eukaryota; Fungi; Ascomycota; Eurotiomycetes; Onygenales; Arthrodermataceae
Source: RNAcentral
CAGAACAAACUCAUGGAUACCGAACAUCGAUUAAAAGCCAGACGGAGAAGCAGAGUCGUGCACUGCUAGCUUCUGUCCUCUACUCUACACUUAGCUUGUGUGUGCCUAAGCUAUGCCGCUCGCUCAUUUUUUCACCU